Long non-coding RNA from Homarus americanus (American lobster), 685 nucleotides. RefSeq lists it as uncharacterized. The record is from RefSeq and is a predicted model, not a curated record. The transcript is spliced from 3 exons. NCBI's taxonomy places the organism in Eukaryota, Metazoa, Arthropoda, Malacostraca, Decapoda, Nephropidae.
GUGAGCUGGUCUGACAACACGCUCAACCUCACUUAACUUACACCAUAUAAUAUUUCUUGUUCUUUUACGGUUUAGAGGACAACUGUGAUCGAUAAAACCAGGUGUUAGGACGCCCAUAUUGUAGUGGAGAAACGGAGGGACGUCUGAAGUGAAGUCAAUGACAAGUAAAGUGAGUGUGGAGGAAGAGACAUUAAAGGGAGCCACGACUCUCACACUACUACUGCCUCCCUGGUGUUCCUUACGAUGGCUGAAGUACUGACCGUCGUGGCAGAGGAGAUGGGACGGGUGUUUGGUAUGGUGUGGAGUGGUGUCGGGGUUGCAGUACGUCUCAACAACCAAGUGUAUGAGCACAGUCUUUAAAGCAGCCGCUCGCAUCGUACAGCUUCUCUUGCUCCUCACACACAAGGCUGCUGAUCUGUUGUCAUUGUUGGUGACUGACCUCAUGCUCUUCCUCGGGCGUGGGUGGUGCCGUGCUGGCAGUAGGUGUCGGGCUACAGACUGGAGUGAUGACGAUCUUUAACUUUGAUAGUGCCGUUUUCUUCGGCAUCAUUUCUGCUGCCGUCUACUCGUGCCACCUCGUCCGGGUUUCGUACUGCGCCAUCAUCUCUGCAGCGAUGACUGUGAUGGUGCAGCUGGGGAACUUCAUCACUGCUCUCAAACACGCCUUCAUCAUGUUUGGGUGCGU